RNAcentral lists this ribosomal RNA (390 nucleotides) under uncultured bacterium. RNAcentral describes it as "bacterial SSU rRNA". It matches the Rfam family "Bacterial small subunit ribosomal RNA", at positions 28 to 419 of the family's 1533-position model. The record is from RNAcentral.
GACGAACGCUGGCGGCGUGCUUAACACAUGCAAGUCGAGCGGUAAGGCCCUUUCGGGGGUACACGAGCGGCGAACGGGUGAGUAACACGUGGGUGACCUGCCUCUAGCUCUGGGAUAAGCCUGGGAAGCUGGGUCUAAUACCGGAUAUGACCUCGCGGUGCAUGUUGCGGGGUGGAAAGCCUUGUGCGGCUAGGGAUGGGCCCGCGGCCUAUCAGCUUGUUGGUGGGGUGAUGGCCUACCAAGGCGACGACGGGUAGCCGGCCUGAGAGGGCGACCGGCCACACUGGGACUGAGACACGGCCCAGACUCCUACGGGAGGCAGCAGUGGGGAAUCUUGCGCAAUGGGCGAAAGCCUGACGCAGCGACGCCGCGUGAGGGAUGACGGCCUGG